GGCCAGGAGAGAGGACUCUGCCCUAGCCUCGGUGCUGGACACCUGACCUGCCUGUUCCCACCCGUGGCUCACAGCCGCCAAGGGUUCGUUUCAGGCCCCCUUAAGGAAGCAACUUCUGUCAGCCCGCCCGAGUUCCCCAAACCACAGAGCUGAUCACUGGAAUUGCAGGCAUCACAUCUUCACGUCUGCUUUUUAAGGGGGAGCCGGGCAUCGAACUCAAGGCCUGAGUCUUGUGGGACACGUACUAUCCUGACUAAGAAGGUUGUGCUCGCAUGGAUUCCCCACCACGCGUGGGUUCUGAACCCGAAGGCCAGGACUCCACUGCGCCCUCCAGGGCCAGCGCUGAGCCGAGACAACUGUCGGCCGCUGGAGUCUCCUUCAUGCCAGCUUCUGCAGUUGUCAUGGGAACUGUGUCUCCCGGGUAGCCCUGAUUCUGCGUCUCCAUCAUGGCUGGUUCCGUUGCAGUGUGGGGACGGCGAGUCGUACUGUGAUACAAAUCCAACAAACUUCUUUCCUCUCUUGGCGGCAGCAUUAAUCUGAGGUUCAAAGAGAUAGCAGGACCAAGGUAAACCCCGUGUGACUCAGGAGGCCACUGGAAGAUGGAAUCGAACUGACCAGUAACAAAGCCACACUUCUAAGUCAGCUGGGAACUGCUAGCAUCCACCACCCCCAAGGUCAUGUCUCAGUGUCAGCAUGACUCGUUACCAGAACGAAUGCUUUAGAAAUUAUAGAGAUGGGACUAUUCUUCUCUGAGAUUCCACCGUAUUUGGCAAGAGCUAGUAAUUUUAUAGCAGGAUUUUUGGGCAUGGUUAACGAAAACCUUUCCAGUUGGAGCAGAAGUAAAGACUGUUCCGGAACACUCCCCAAAGUAACUGAAGCAAAUACAGCCUCACUAUUAAAAACAAAAAGCACACCGCACGGUUUGGUGUUGAUUAAGACCGAUGUUUAGAGGCCAGCUCUUACGCACGUGCACCUGAAAAUGUGAGCCCAGGUCAUACGCAGCUGACAGGGAGCUUUCUAAGCUGCUGGUGUUCGACGUCCGCCUCUGGCCUGGCGAAGGACACAGAAUCCGAUUUGAACCUGUCCGUGAGGACACAGACUCUGAGACAGAUGGUAUGAAGUCAGAGAAAGAGUUCGGGGUCUCAGCAGCUGUGGUUUUCAUGUCUGGUACUAUUUCCAUCUGACCGCUUCUGAGACUCUUAUUUCCUCCGAGCACACAGCGCCCGAGAUCUAAGGGUUUUCUUCGGCUUUUCUCUGUUGUGACUGUUCUUUUCCUGAGUUCAGCUGGCAAUACUUCCCGGGGAAAAUACUGUGUCUUAUCUGCCUUUGCAUCGCAUUUUUUGAUAGGUGCACUGUAAACAUCCAUUAAAGAAAUGCAGAAGCACAAA
Molecule: long non-coding RNA, 1388 nt
Organism: Arvicola amphibius (Eurasian water vole)
Lineage: Eukaryota; Metazoa; Chordata; Mammalia; Rodentia; Cricetidae
Exons: 4
Source: RefSeq, a predicted model, not a curated record